Molecule: ribosomal RNA, 469 nt
Filed under: uncultured bacterium
Lineage: Bacteria
Description: partial 16S ribosomal RNA
Rfam family: Bacterial small subunit ribosomal RNA
Source: RNAcentral
GACGAACGCUGGCGGCGUGCUUAACACAUGCAAGUCGAACGGAAAGGCCCUGCUUGCAGGGUGCUCGAGUGGCGAACGGGUGAGUAACACGUGGGUGAUCUGCCCCUUACUUUGGGAUAAGCCUGGGAAACUGGGUCUAAUACUGGAUAGGACCAUGCUGUAGGUGGUGUGGUGGAAAGAUUAGUUUCGGUAAGGGAUGAGCUCGCGGCCUAUCAGCUUGUUGGUGGGGUAAUGGCCUACCAAGGCGUCGACGGGUAGCCGGCCUGAGAGGGUGGACGGCCACAUUGGGACUGAGGUACGGCCCAGACUCCUACGGGAGGCAGCAGUGGGGAAUAUUGCACAAUGGGCGCAAGCCUGAUGCAGCGACGCCGCGUGGGGGAUGACGGCCUUCGGGUUGUAAACUCCUUUCAGCCAUGAGGAAGCCCUUGUGGUGACGGUAGUGGUAGAAGAAGCACCGGCUAACUACGUG